GGCAGCGUAGCUCAGGUGGUAGAGCAGGGGACUCAUAAGCCCCGGGUCGGGGGUUCAAAUCCCUCCGCUGCCAC
This 74-nucleotide transfer RNA is filed under the name subsurface metagenome. RNAcentral describes it as "tRNA-Met". It matches the Rfam family "tRNA". From Rfam's summary of the family: Transfer RNA (tRNA) molecules are approximately 80 nucleotides in length. The record is from RNAcentral.